This 250-nucleotide ribosomal RNA is filed under the name uncultured bacterium. Its description in RNAcentral is "partial 16S ribosomal RNA". It matches the Rfam family "Bacterial small subunit ribosomal RNA", at positions 15 to 263 of the family's 1533-position model. The record is from RNAcentral.
GAUCCUGACUCAGGAUGAACGCUAGCGACAGGCCUAACACAUGCAAGUCGAACGGAAGUUAGAGCUUCGGUUUUAACUUUAGUGGCGAACGGGUGAGUAACGCGUGAGGAACCUGCCUUUCAGUGGGGGACAACAGUUGGAAACGACUGCUAAUACCGCAUGACACUUUUGGGAGACAUCUCCUGGAAGUCAAAGCUUUAUGUGCUGAAAGAUGGCCUCGCGUCUGAUUAGCUAGUUGGUGAGGUAACGG